CACCCCAGAUUGGGAAGUAAAUAAAUGCUACUGGAUCGAGGCCCCUCGUCAUCUCUCCUGCCUCUUCAAUCAUCCAAAGACUGUUUAGUCUGUUAUUUUAAUGUAAUGGUCGGUUCAUGUCCGUUGCAUUGACUUGACUUGUCAUUGGGUCUGAUUUUAAAUGUGCCAUAUAGUUCAAUGUGGGAGCAGGUUCACACACUAAAUAAGACACUAAGGUCAAGCACAAGCAGAUUUUUUGUUUUAUUUUUCUCAGAGCAGAGUAGAGCAGAUGUUUCAGGUUGCUGCCAUCAGAGAGCAGUGACUUGACCUCAGUGUCUUAUUUAGUGUACUCCCACAUUGAACUCUACUUUUUGGGUCCACGCACCUACUUAUUUCUAAACAUCUAGAGUGCAACAAUACCCAUGCCUCCUAAUGUGCCAUAUAACCUGUAUCUCGCCUAUUGUGUGUGUGUGUGUGUGUGUGUGUGUGUGUGUGUGUGUUCGUGAAUGUGUUCACGCAGAUAUAAGAAGUUGGGGUUGGGGUUGGGGUUGAUGAUCCACAUGAUGGUGAUGGACCAGGACAGCUCUGGACCUCCUGACUGGCAGCUCCAUCCUCAACCUCCCUUCCUGUCCUUCACACAUGUGCAGGCAGAGGCAGUUUUCUGAAGGAUGGUUAAUGUCAGUAUCAACAUGUUGUGAUGGAGGCUUCCACCUGAGCUGAACACAGAAACUUGCACACAGUGAUGGAAGCAGUCGUUCCUGUUCAGCAUUGAUAUGCCGGUAAUGGGUUUGAUGAGCCACAGCGUGGUGAUGGGCAAUCAGCAUCAGGACCAGGGCCGCUCACAAGGAGAACCUCCUGCCCUGCCUCUUCAUCCUCAACCUCCAAUCUUCCUGCUCUUCACACAUGUGCAGGCACAGAGCCAGUUUUCAGAGGGAGGGCUGAUGACACCAGCAACUUCGGAUCUGAACCUGAUCAACCCAGCACCAACCACUGUGCCGCUCCUCCUCUGCCAACUGCACCACAUGGCUCCACCAUCUCAAAAAGGCACAGACACUACUCCACUUCCUGCGAAGGAUGAGAGAAGAGCCGACCUCCCCACAAACGGCACUCACCACCUUCUACAGGGGUGUCAUUGAGAGCAUCCUGACCAGCAGCCUCUCUGUCUGGCAUGGCAGCCGUCAAGCUGAAGACUAGAAGGCAGUACAGAGAGUGGUGAGGACAGCAGAAAAGCUCAUAAGAUCACC
Molecule: long non-coding RNA, 1223 nt
Organism: Engraulis encrasicolus (European anchovy)
Lineage: Eukaryota; Metazoa; Chordata; Actinopteri; Clupeiformes; Engraulidae
Exons: 4
Source: RefSeq, a predicted model, not a curated record